RNAcentral lists this ribosomal RNA (498 nucleotides) under uncultured bacterium. Its description in RNAcentral is "partial 16S ribosomal RNA". It matches the Rfam family "Bacterial small subunit ribosomal RNA", at positions 30 to 523 of the family's 1533-position model. The record is from RNAcentral.
AUUGAACGCUGGCGGCAUGCCUUACACAUGCAAGUCGAACGGUAACGCGGGGCAACCUGGCGACGAGUGGCGAACGGGUGAGUAAUAUAUCGGAACGUGCCCAGUAGUGGGGGAUAGCCCGGCGAAAGCCGGAUUAAUACCGCAUACGACCUAAGGGUGAAAGGGGGGGAUCGCAAGACCUCUCGCUAUUGGAGCGGCCGAUAUCAGAUUAGCUAGUUGGUGGGGUAAAAGCCUACCAAGGCGACGAUCUGUAGCUGGUCUGAGAGGACGACCAGCCACACUGGGACUGAGACACGGCCCAGACUCCUACGGGAGGCAGCAGUGGGGAAUUUUGGACAAUGGACGCAAGUCUGAUCCAGCCAUGCCGCGUGCGGGAAGAAGGCCUUCGGGUUGUAAACCGCUUUUGUCAGGGAAGAAAAGGUUCUGGAUAAUACCUGGGACUCAUGACGGUACCUGAAGAAUAAGCACCGGCUAACUACGUGCCAGCCGCCGCUGUAA